CUAAAGGCGGGAAAAAUUGGGAAGAAAAAUUUGCACACAGAGAAAAGAUGAAGAACUCAAAUUCAAAAUCCGGCAGAGAUCUACAAAGUUUGGUUGAAGCUAUCAAAUCUUCAGAUGUGGUUGAAAAUCGUGUUGAAUUGCUUGAUGAACUUGGUGAGCUAGAUUUGACUGAGAAAUCAGAAGUGGCUUCUCUUAUAGAAUCCAUACAAACACUCUGGGAAGACUUCACAUGUCUUGACAUUUCUCAAUGCAAAUUGAACAAAACCAUUUUGCACGUGGCUGCAAAAUAUUUGCUGUCUGACAUAUCUGCAAGCUUAGGGCAGUUUCUAGGCCUAGGAGCCAAAGCUGCUGUAUGGUGUAAAAAGCAUCUACAGAUGACACUCAUGUCGACUCAGGACUCACCUGAAGAAGAACAUAGCAGCCUCUUUUAUCAGUUGCUGUUGGAUUUGCUUGGCUACUCUGCCUCUAUUUUCGCAGCUUUGACCAGAUACCCCUCUGCGGUUGACAAGGGGUUAAUGUCUAUUAUUGAAAAUUUCAUCUUGGAGGAAUUAGACCUUAUAAAGGGUUGUAUUUCAGCAGUGAAGGCAAUUUCCUCAUUUGGUUCAGACGUGCAGAAAAUUGCAUUGGAAGUUCUUGAUGCUCUGAUACGAUUGUGUAAGGUAUAUUCCCAUGGCGUAAACUGGGAUUCUUACCUUAAGAUGGAGGAGGAAAGAAAAGUUAUGGAAAGUGAAGAGGCUGAAAGUGCAGAUCAUGUCAACAAGAUAAUGAAAUUAACGGUUGAAAAGUUGUGUGAGUUGGGCAUCCUUGCAGCUAAUGAUGGAGGAAAUCUUGUGAGCUUAAUUAAUCUGUCAUGGAAAGGUGUAGUUAGCUUACUUCAGCUUGGCAAGGGUUCUUUGGCUGUAAAGUUGAAUAUAGGAGACAUUAUUCUGACUCUUAUUUCUCUGGCUAAUGGAUCUUUGGGAUGUGCGGCUGAGACUUGGUCAUCCCCAUUGAAAGAAGCAGUUUCUGCAAUGGAAGCUAGAAGAGUGUUUCUUCCAGUCAAGUUUUACCUGAUUAAUGCUGUGCGAAUUAUCUCUCAGUACCCAUCCGAGGCAUUUUAUGUGUUCAAAGAUAUAAUAUUAUCUGUCAUAAUGAUCUCAACCUUUAGAAUAUUCCUCAUUAAAGAUGAUCAGCUCAAAUUUGCUGGUGAUGCAAUUUCAGAAAUCUUGGAGCCGACAUCCUUUCAUAUGCUUAACUCUUUCCUUAACUCAGCUCAAGUGAAAUCAGAGCAGAAGUUUCAAAUUUUGGAGUGGUUGUUUGGCGACGAAAUUGAUUUAGAUAAUGUCACCAUAGGGUGCAAUAUUAAUCAAGCUAGUUGCAUGAGUGCAAUAUUUGCUGUAAGUUCUGGCACUAUGCAGGGAGCAAAGAUACUAUUUAUUGGUCGAGUAGCCUUGUUUGUAAAUCUUCUGAAAAACUCACCUGAUAUUGAAGAUGAUGCAAGACUAGGGGUUGCUAGAAAACUUGGAUGGUUAUUGUGCAUCUGCACUGAUAAAGAUGUGUAUUCUUCCAUUCUUGUCUUGGAACUUCCUACAAUGUCUCGUACUAGUCAAAAACAAGAAUCCAAUGAGCCCCUUUUCCAUUUCAUUAUUAAUGCCUUGAAAACCUUCAUGAUAGUGACCUCUUCAAGUCAAGCUUGGUGUGAAAUCGAGUCGUUUCUUCUUGAAAACCUUUUUCAUCCUCACUUUCUUUGUCGUGAGAUUGUUACUGAACUUUGGUGCUUUAUCUCACGUCACGCUGACGAAGUUGUGGUAGACGACAUUGUUGAAAAGUUCUGCUCAUUAAUGAAGUACACAGAAGCUCCGGAAGUUGCACUAAAUCCUGAUAGUCUGGUCAGAAAAAUGGCGAGAUUUCUCUGUGUGCUUGUUACAUCUGGUCCAAAUUCUAUGGUAGAUAAAGUUUAUAAGACAGUGGUUGGAUUUAACACAUCAAACUAUUCAUCAAUUACUUACUUAGCUUUGCUUAUGGAGGGAUUCCCACUAAAUGCACUUUCAGAAAAAUUGAGAAGUGAUGCAAAGCAACAAAUUGUAACUCAAUACUUUAACUUCCUUGGGAGUUUUGGGGGUACACUACCGAGAGAAGGCGGCUCUGCUGUUUAUGGUGCUCCAGUUUUUGCUCUUUCUGCCGCUCUGCAGUUUCGCCUAAUCAGCAUAUCAGAUGCUGAGAUGAAGACUAUAAAGUUCCUUGUUGCUAUUAUUCACAAGUACAGAGAAUGUUCAGACAUCAAAAUAAAGGAUAAAUACCGCAGGCUUCUUAGUGAGACACUAGGAAUCAUUUCUAACAUGAAGCAUUUGUAUACUUCCAAUGAGAUGGAAGAAGUCAUUUUGGCCCUUCAGAACCUCUUCAUCUCUGGACCAGCAUUAUCAGAUGGAAAAUUAUUUCAAUGCAAGCCAAACUUGUCAUCUUUUAUGGCUGGCCUUGGUGAGAUUGAAUUGGAAGACCGAGAGGACAAUGCAGUGAGUUCAGCUGUGUGGGAGCUGUAUCACAUGUUGCUUAGAGAGCGACACUGGGCACUUGUUCACCUCGCUAUCACAGCCUUUGGAUAUUUUGCUGCCCGCAGUAGUUGUAAUCAUCUCUGGAGAUAUGUACCCGAAGAUGCAGCUCUUUCGUUUGAUCUGUUAACAGGAAAAGAAGCUGACGAGGAGAGAUUUAUGUCUGACCUGAAAACAUUUCUUGACAAGGAAUCCGCAUGUCCAAAGAUAAAACCUUGUCCGGACACAGUUAGCAUGUUUGCUAUGGAUGGUCAAAUGCUGAAAGAGACCUUGAAAAAGAUAAAAGAUGUUGAUCCAAAGCUUAUGGUCUGUGAUCCUAUGGAGGUUGACAAUGAAAAGCAACCCAAUAGAAAAAGAAAAUUUCCUAACAGAGUUACCAAAGGAGUGGAAUUACUGAGAGACGGCAUGAAGGUUAUGGGUGAUGCUCUUUCUGAGUGGAAGCAUAACCAUUUCGACUCCACUGAUAUUCGUGAAAAAUUCUUGACUCACUUCUCUCACCUGGAAGAUGUGGUUACCCACUUAGUGAGCCUUGCUGACAGUGGCUAACUUCUACUGGAAUAGUUCACUUCUGCAGUGACUGGUGCAAAUUAUCAUCAGCUGAUGAUUAUGAAAUGCAUGUUGCAAAUCAAACACCAGAUAUUUUAACCGCGGAAUGUUUUAUGGACGAUAAAUCGUUAGGAAAACAAACAAUUAAAUCAAUGGAGAUUUACAAAUUUAAUGUAACUAUUGAUGGUGAAAACACAAAAGACGUUUGGUGUCCAAUGUGGUUAGGGAAAAGGCCUGGAUUAUUUAAGAUAUUUGAUUAUAAUAGAGAUCAAUCUAAUUGUGGUGAUCAAGUUUGUCAUUGGUAUGUUAAACAAGAUGGAAUUUGCCUUUUUAGUGUUUAUCAAUGUGUUGUACACUAUAAUUGGGCAUGGUGAAAUAUUAAUUAAAUUACGUGGGAUAAAGUUCAUUUAGUUUUUUAUGAUGUUUAGAAAUUUUAAUGGUGUUUUGAAGAUGUUAUGGUUUGCUAGACUUGGAUGUAUAACGGAAGCUUAAUGUAUCAGGUUGUCAUUUGUUGUACAGGUUUGCGGCUAUAUAUGAUGAUUUUAUCUUUUUUUUUGUUGUA
This is a non-coding RNA of Solanum lycopersicum (tomato), 3636 nucleotides long. Lineage: Eukaryota; Viridiplantae; Streptophyta; Magnoliopsida; Solanales; Solanaceae. The record is from RefSeq and is a predicted model, not a curated record.